GACGAACGCUGGCGGCGUGCUUAACACAUGCAAGUCGAACGGAAAGGCCCUGCUUUUGUGGGGUGCUCGGGUGGCGAACGGGUGAGUAACACGUGAGUAACCUGCCCUUGACUUUGGGAUAACUUAAGGGAACUGGGGCUCAUACCGGAUAGGAGCUCCUGCUGCAUGGUGGUGGUUGGAAAGUUUCGGCGGUUGGGUCUGUACUCGCGGCUUAUCCGCUUGUUGGUGGGGUAGUGGCUUACCAAGGCUUUGACGGGUAGCCGGCCUGAGAGGGUGACCGGCCACAUUGGGACUGAGAUACGGCCCAGACGCCUACGGGAGGCAGCAGUGGGGAAUAUUGCACAGUGGGCGGGAGCCUGAUGCAGCAACGCCGCGUGCGGGAUGACGGCCUUCGGGUUGUAAACCGCUUUCGCCUGUGACGAAGCGUGAGUGACGGUAAUGGGUAAAGAAGCACCGGCUAACUACGUG
This 468-nucleotide ribosomal RNA is filed under the name uncultured bacterium. RNAcentral's name for it is "partial 16S ribosomal RNA". It matches the Rfam family "Bacterial small subunit ribosomal RNA", at positions 28 to 507 of the family's 1533-position model. The record is from RNAcentral.